This 783-nucleotide ribosomal RNA is filed under the name uncultured bacterium. RNAcentral's name for it is "bacterial SSU rRNA". It matches the Rfam family "Bacterial small subunit ribosomal RNA", at positions 8 to 796 of the family's 1533-position model. The record is from RNAcentral.
AGAGUUUGAUCCUGGCUCAGGAUGAACGCUGGCGGCGUGCUUAACACAUGCAAGUCGAGCGCUGAAGCUCCAGCUUGCUGGGGUGGAUGAGUGGCGAACGGGUGAGUAUCACGUGAGUAACCUGCCCUUGACUCUGGGAUAAGCCUGGGAAACUGGGUCUAAUACUGGAUAGGACUGAUCAUCGCAUGGUGGUUGGUGGAAAGCUUUAUGCGGUUUUGGAUGGACUCGCGGCCUAUCAGCUUGUUGGUGGGGUAAUGGCCUACCAAGGCUUUGACGGGUAGCCGGCCUGAGAGGGUGACCGGCCACACUGGGACUGAGACGCGGCCCAGACUCCUACGGGAGGCAGCAGUGGGGGAUAUUGCACAAUGGGCGCAAGCCUGAUGCAGCGACGCCGCGUGAGGGAUGACGGCCUUCGGGUUGUAAACCUCUUUCAGUUGGGAAGAAGCCCUUUUUGGGUGACGGUACCUUCAGAAGAAGCACCGGCUAACUACGUGCCAGCAGCCGCGGUAAUACGUAGGGUGCGAGCGUUAUCCGGAAUUAUUGGGCGUAAAGAGCUCGUAGGCGGUUUGUCACGUCUGCUGUGAAAGUCUAGGGCUUAACCCUGGGUUUGCAGUGGGUACGGGCAGGCUGGAGUGCAGUAGGGGAGGCUGGAAUUCCUGGUGUAGCGGUGAAAUGCGCAGAUAUCAGGAGGAACACCGAUGGCGAAGGCAGGUCUCUGGGCUGUUACUGACGCUGAGGAGCGAAAGCAUGGGGAGCGAACAGGAUUAGAUACCCUGGUAGUCC